This 431-nucleotide ribosomal RNA is filed under the name uncultured Elusimicrobium sp. Its description in RNAcentral is "bacterial SSU rRNA". It matches the Rfam family "Bacterial small subunit ribosomal RNA", at positions 958 to 1385 of the family's 1533-position model. Lineage: Bacteria; Pseudomonadati; Elusimicrobiota; Elusimicrobia; Elusimicrobiales; Elusimicrobiaceae. The record is from RNAcentral.
AACGCGAAGAACCUUACCUGGGCUUGAACUACUCGUGGUAGUUCGCUGGAAACAGUGGACGACCCGCAAGGGAGCGAGCAGAGGUGCUGCAUGGUUGUCGUCAGCUCGUGUCGUGAGAUGUUGGGUUAAGUCCCGCAACGAGCGCAACCCCUAUCCAAUGUUGCUACUCCCGUAAGGGAGGCACUCUUUGGAAACUGCCUUCGAUAAGAAGGAGGAAGGUGGGGACGACGUCAAAUCCUCAUGGCCCUUAUGUCCAGGGCAACACACGUGUUACAAUGGCCGGUACAAUGGGAAGCAAUACCGUAAGGUGGAGCAAAACUCAUAAAGCCGGCCCCAGUUCAGAUUGUGGGCUGCAACUCGCCCACAUGAAGGCGGAAUUGCUAGUAAUCGCUGAUCAGCAGGCAGCGGUGAAUACGUUCCCGGGCCUUGUA